RNAcentral lists this ribosomal RNA (633 nucleotides) under Enterococcus sp. Se1Pt_297. RNAcentral describes it as "bacterial SSU rRNA". It matches the Rfam family "Bacterial small subunit ribosomal RNA", at positions 382 to 1006 of the family's 1533-position model. Lineage: Bacteria; Bacillati; Bacillota; Bacilli; Lactobacillales; Enterococcaceae. The record is from RNAcentral.
UCUGACCGAGCACGCCGCGUGAGUGAAGAAGGUUUUCGGAUCGUAAAACUCUGUUGUUAGAGAAGAACAAGGAUGAGAGUAGAACGUUCAUCCCUUGACGGUAUCUAACCAGAAAGCCACGGCUAACUACGUGCCAGCAGCCGCGGUAAUACGUAGGUGGCAAGCGUUGUCCGGAUUUAUUGGGCGUAAAGCGAGCGCAGGCGGUUUCUUAAGUCUGAUGUGAAAGCCCCCGGCUCAACCGGGGAGGGUCAUUGGAAACUGGGAGACUUGAGUGCAGAAGAGGAGAGUGGAAUUCCAUGUGUAGCGGUGAAAUGCGUAGAUAUAUGGAGGAACACCAGUGGCGAAGGCGGCUCUCUGGUCUGUAACUGACGCUGAGGCUCGAAAGCGUGGGGAGCGAACAGGAUUAGAUACCCUGGUAGUCCACGCCGUAAACGAUGAGUGCUAAGUGUUGGAGGGUUUCCGCCCUUCAGUGCUGCAGCAAACGCAUUAAGCACUCCGCCUGGGGAGUACGACCGCAAGGUUGAAACUCAAAGGAAUUGACGGGGGCCCGCACAAGCGGUGGAGCAUGUGGUUUAAUUCGAAGCAACGCGAAGAACCUUACCAGGUCUUGACAUCCUUUGACCACUCUAGAGA